UGGGGCAGAGACUCAUGAAAUAUCUCGGAAGUUGCCUUUGCUACCAUCCUUGCUCCCAGCCGGCCAUGGGUUACUGGCGUCUGUUUUAUCAGGACUCUCAAGAGGGACAGCUGGUUUGUGUUACAAGCCUGCUCCCUGCAUAUCUGGUCUGGUUUUAAAUAGCUUAUCUGAGCAGCUGGAGGACCACAUGGGCUUAUAUGGCGUGGGGUACAUGUUUCUUUAGCCCUGUCUCCGGCACCUGCCAAAAUAGCAGCCAACACCCCUCCAUUGGUCCCCCCCCCCAUCUCCUGCUGCACAUUCCUGCCACCGCAGGGCUUGGCUCCCAAGGCCCCAGCCCACAUGCCUGCUUAAAGCUCUCUCCAUCCCUGCCUUUGCCCAGUCCCCACCAAGGCGAGCAGACACCUCCGGGACCUACUGGCAGCCCCUGUUCAGAGGGAGAGCAGAGACGAUGUCUGACACUGAAGAGGUGGUGGAAGAAUACGAGGAGUAAGUAUCUGAGGGUGUCCCAUCCUGAGUGCCCCCCUCCAUGCCAUCCCCAUGCCGGCUCCAGGAG
Molecule: long non-coding RNA, 553 nt
Filed under: Cavia porcellus (domestic guinea pig)
Lineage: Eukaryota; Metazoa; Chordata; Mammalia; Rodentia; Caviidae
Description: lncRNA (ENSCPOG00000038471.1)
Source: RNAcentral